Molecule: long non-coding RNA, 1483 nt
Organism: Sebastes umbrosus (honeycomb rockfish)
Lineage: Eukaryota; Metazoa; Chordata; Actinopteri; Perciformes; Sebastidae
Exons: 4
Source: RefSeq, a predicted model, not a curated record
UUGGGUGUGGUUUACUUUAUAAUAGUCCAACAAUCGUGACUCUGCAUUUUAUUCAGCUCAUCUUCGGACUGCAAGUUCACAUCUCUGCAUCAACUACAGGCUUGAGGCUUAACAAACCAACCCAACAACCAUGGCUAAAAUCACUGUCGACAUUGAAUAUAGUGGCUCAGGAUGAGGCUACGGGUCCGCUGUCAAGGCUUUAGCUGACUCACUCAAGGCGAUCCCUGGCGUGGAGGUGGUGACACGCGAAGGGAGAGAUGGCAGCUUUGAGGUGACAGUGGAUGGUAAACCCAUCUACUCCAAGCUUGGCGGUCAAGGGUUUCCUAAAUCUACUGACGUGGAGGAAAUCGUAAAGAAGGUGAAGGCAAAGCUGAAGUAACAUGGAUGAAAACUUCAAUGAGCUCUUAACAUUGGAAGAUGGAGGUUAACAGCUGUAUUCACACUGCAAGAACAAUGGUUUGUUUUUUAUGGGUCAGACUACAUUCUCUCACAGCUGCUUAUCAGAAUACAAAAGUGAACUCAAACAUUAAAAUAUGACAUUAAAACAAUUUAAAAAAAUGUAAUUGUGGACCAAAAUCAAAACACCGUCAGCCAUGAGAAGAAGAUCAGACCAUACAUCUUCACUGUGAAUACAGAAGAUGCUGAGAGCAACUCUGAGGAGCCAGGCACUGAUCUGCACUUCUAUUUUAUGAAUGUACACGCUAAAAAUCAUGCGGUGUGUACACGAUGCAAGUCUAGAAGCUUUUCACCUGACUCUGGAGCCUGAGGAACUGCUCUCAUCAUGUCCGUCUGGCAUUUACUCAUAAAUAUAACGUCUCUACAGCUGCAUUUACUCAGGAAUGGAAGAUUUAAACAAUAUAAUUCAAUCAAACAACAUAUGUUUUCAUAUUAAGCUUUUCUCUGUUUAGAUAACGCCAAAAGUUUCAGAUCUGUGACAUGAUUGGGCACAAAUUUAAAGGAAUAGUUUUGACGUUUUUUGGAAAUUCGCUUUCGUGCCAAGAGUUGGCUAAAUGAGAAGAUUGAUACGACUCUGCCAGCAGCCGGAAAGGCUGGAAACCGGGUUAAACAGCUAGCCUCCCGUCAACACAAUCUGCCUACCAGCACCUCUAAAGCUCACUUAUUAACUCGUUGUAUCUGGUUUGUUUAAUCCAUACAAAAAUCAGAGUGAAAAAACGACAAUUUGCCGUUUGAUGGGGGGGUUAUGUGCUGGACUCUUUCUCGGCUUGGACCAGUAACUUCCUGGAGUGUACUGGUCCAGGCCAAGAAAUAGUCCAGCACAUCACCCCCCCUUUAAAAUGGCGAAUUAUCGUUUUUGCACUUCUGGUUUUUGCAUGGAUCAAACAAACGAGAUAUACAGUAACAUGUUAAUAAGCGGGAUAAUGUGCAGCUAGCGGGUCAUUGUUGUGAAAGAAACCCGGACAUGGCGAUGCCGCACCCUGACGCAAAGCGAGAGGGUCUGUCAUCGCCCUUAAGGGGUUUCUUU